GAUGAACGCUGGCGGCGUGCUUAACACAUGCAAGUCGAACGGAAAGGCUCCUGCUUGCAGGGGUACUCGAGUGGCGAACGGGUGAGUAACACGUGGGUGAUCUGCCCUGCACUUCGGGAUAAGCCUGGGAAACUGGGUCUAAUACCGGAUAGGACGAUGGUUUGGAUGCCAUUGUGGAAAGUUUUUCGGUGUGGGAUGAGCUCGCGGCCUAUCAGCUUGUUGGUGGGGUAAUGGCCUACCAAGGCGUCGACGGGUAGCCGGCCUGAGAGGGUGUACGGCCACAUUGGGACUGAGAUACGGCCCAGACUCCUACGGGAGGCAGCAGUGGGGAAUAUUGCACAAUGGGCGCAGCCUGAUGCAGCGACGCCGCGUGGGGGAUGACGGCCUUCGGGUUGUAAACUCCUUUCGCUAGGGACGAAGCGUUUUGUGACGGUACCUGGAGAAGAAGCACCGGCUAACUACGUG
Molecule: ribosomal RNA, 465 nt
Filed under: uncultured bacterium
Lineage: Bacteria
Description: partial 16S ribosomal RNA
Rfam family: Bacterial small subunit ribosomal RNA
Source: RNAcentral